This 253-nucleotide ribosomal RNA is filed under the name uncultured bacterium. RNAcentral's name for it is "partial 16S ribosomal RNA". It matches the Rfam family "Bacterial small subunit ribosomal RNA", at positions 524 to 776 of the family's 1533-position model. The record is from RNAcentral.
UACGUAGGGGGCUAGCGUUGUCCGGAAUCAUUGGGCGUAAAGAGCGUGUAGGCGGUCCGGUAAGUCCGCUGUGAAAGUCGGGGGCUCAACCCUCGAAUGCCGGUGGAUACUGUCGGGCUAGAGUGCGGAAGAGGCGAGUGGAAUUCCUGGUGUAGCGGUGAAAUGCGCAGAUAUCAGGAGGAACACCUAUUGCGAAGGCAGCUCACUGGAUCUUUUCUGACGCUGAGGCACGAAAGCUAGGGUAGCGAACGGG